GCAACUAACUUAUCAAUACAAACAAAACAAAAUCAAUACAUUUGCGGCGUUGUUUUCAUUGUCUCUUUUGUUUUACUUUGAAUUUGAAAGAUAAUUAUAUGUUUAAGCAAAAAAAUUAAUUAGCCAGUGCUUCUUGUAUUGUUCAUUUGUGGACGACAUGACCAGGCGGCAGGACAAUGGCCUGCCCGCAAUCCGCAACCAAGAAAUUGAAAGUAUUGAUGAUCGGAUUCACGCAACUUUAGUACUAAGAGCCAAGCUUUUAAUGCUCCAGGCUCAAAUUCACAAACUCCGAAUCAAGAAGAAAAGGUUGGGUCUCAUGUAAGCAGUUGUUGAUUAUGUUCUGUUUAUUUGGAUAGUAUAACAAGGUGGAUUCAUUGCUGGCUGGAAUAUCUGGUGUAAAAAUAAUGUAUUGUAACCAUCAUAAAUUUAUUGUUACUUUCUUCUUUAUAAAUAUAUAUAUAUAUUGAACAUAGAGGCACAUGACAGUUUAGUACCUACCAAGUAUCCAAACAUGAAUAAUUAUAACCAAGUCGAACAGACUUGACCAUUUUAGAAUAAAAAUAAAGAAUGUGGGAUGGUAAUGAACUCGCGAGAACAUCAACAGCUUAAAUGUAAUAUCAAUAGUGAAAAUUAAUAAAAUAAGAACAAAUUAUACUACAAGUCUACUAUCUACUACAAGUGUUAAGUUACACAUUUACCAAACCUAACAAUUUUUAUAGUAACUAUGGGUUCUAAGCCUUCAAUCGUCUUGGUGUGGUGUACUGUGAUACAAAUAUUGUUGAUAUUAGAAAUAAUUAAAAAAGGCCACUUGAGUUGCCUUGUACUGAAUGGAGUAUGUGAUACACUUCGGCAUAUACAUAAAUAUUACUUGAACUGAAAAAGGGAUGUUGCAAUUUUGUAAAAUUUCCCUUCAUAAAAAAAAGAAAGAAAUUUUUGUAAAAUUUUCCUUCAUAAGAAAAAGAAAGAAACUAGGAAAUUUACUGCCUUUUGUUGUUCUUCCAGUGUGUGUGAAUUGUCAUACCAAUUUAACUAUUAUAUUACAUUCAGUUUAUGAUUUGUAUUUACAAUUGUUAUAAUUUGGCAGUAUUUCUUAAUGAAAUAUCUGCCUAUCUUAUUAGCAAGUAAAUAGUCGUGUCAAAAUAAAUACACUAAAUGAAUGGGAGAGAUAAAAUGUAAUCAAUCCAAAUAUAUGUGGAUGGCAUACAUAUUAGAUUUUUAUUUUAAUGAAUGUAAUCAUUUAACGUGAUAUAUUACUAGUUAGAAAUAGACAUUUGUUAUUGUUUUAUAUAAUCAUAGCACUUUACGUUUCUGGACCUAGUACAUGUUUAUUGAUCUGAUUAAAUUAUUGAUGUGAUA
Molecule: long non-coding RNA, 1356 nt
Organism: Amyelois transitella
Lineage: Eukaryota; Metazoa; Arthropoda; Insecta; Lepidoptera; Pyralidae
Exons: 3
Source: RefSeq, a predicted model, not a curated record